RNAcentral lists this ribosomal RNA (378 nucleotides) under uncultured bacterium. RNAcentral's name for it is "bacterial SSU rRNA". It matches the Rfam family "Bacterial small subunit ribosomal RNA", at positions 28 to 416 of the family's 1533-position model. The record is from RNAcentral.
GAUUAACGCUGGCGGCGUGCCUAACACAUGCAAGUCGAACGAGGUAGCAAUACCUAGUGGCAGACGGGUGAGUAACACGUGGCCAACCUACCGCCGAGUGGGGGAUAACUAGCCGAAGGUUAGCUAAUACCGCAUGAUACGAACCGGGGCGAUCCCGGAACGUUGAAAGGAGCAAUCCGCUCGAUGACGGGGCCGCGCCCGAUUAGCUAGUUGGUGGGGGUAAUGGCCUACCAAGGCUCCGAUCGGAGCUGGUUUGAGAGAGCGACCAGCCACACUGGGACUGAGAAACGGCCCAGACUCCUACGGGAGGCAGCAGUGAGGAAUUUUCCGCAAUGGGCGAAAGCCUGACGGAGCGACGCCGCGUGUGGGAAGAAGGCC